This 165-nucleotide non-coding RNA is filed under the name chicken gut metagenome. RNAcentral describes it as "Lysine riboswitch". It matches the Rfam family "Lysine riboswitch aptamer". Rfam says of the family: Riboswitches are metabolite binding domains within certain messenger RNAs that serve as precision sensors for their corresponding targets. The record is from RNAcentral.
UCAAUAGAGGUCGCGUUUUUCAAGAGUAUCCUGCCAGAUGUGUUCAGGCGCAGUGGAAAGCAGGAGAAAGGGGAGGACGCCGAAAGGUGCAGUACCUGAACCUGCAUACUUGGGCAUGUAGCUAAGAACUGCAUGACUGUCAUCGUGCUUGCGAUGGAGAGCUAG